Molecule: transfer RNA, 69 nt
Filed under: Tipula cockerelliana
Lineage: Eukaryota; Metazoa; Arthropoda; Insecta; Diptera; Tipulidae
Description: tRNA-Trp
Rfam family: tRNA
About the family: Transfer RNA (tRNA) molecules are approximately 80 nucleotides in length. Their secondary structure includes four short double-helical elements and three loops (D, anti-codon, and T loops). Further hydrogen bonds mediate the characteristic L-shaped molecular structure. tRNAs have two regions of fundamental functional importance: the anti-codon, which is responsible for specific mRNA codon recognition, and the 3' end, to which the tRNAs corresponding amino acid is attached (by aminoacyl-tRNA synthetases). tRNAs cope with the degeneracy of the genetic code in two manners: having more than one tRNA (with a specific anti-codon) for a particular amino acid; and 'wobble' base-pairing, i.e. permitting non-standard base-pairing at the 3rd anti-codon position.
Source: RNAcentral
AAGGCUUUAAGUUAAAAAAACUAAUAGCCUUCAAAGUUAUAAAUAUAAGUCUAACCCUUUUAAGCCUUA